CCAAUAGCGUAUAUUAAAGUUGUUGCAGUUAAAAAGCUCGUAGUUGAAUUUCGGGGUUAGUAGGUUGGUCAUGCCACUGGUAUGUACUGAUCUUACUGAUUCCUCCUUCCUGAUGAACCGUAAUGCCAUUAAUUUGGUGUUGCGGGGAGACUGGACUGUUACUUUGAAAAAAUUAGAGUGUUUAAAGCAGGCUAACGCUUGAAUACAUUAGCAUGGAAUAAUGAAAUAGGACGUUCGAUCCUAUUUUGUUGGUUUCUAGGAUUGACGUAAUGAUUAAUAGGGAUAGUUGGGGGCAUUAGUAUUCAAUUGUCAGAGGUGAAAUUCUUGGAUUUAUUGAAGACUAACUACUGCGAAAGCAUUUGCCAAGGAUGUUUUCAUUAAUCAAGAACGAAAGUUAGGGGAUCGAAGACGAUCAGAUACCGUCGUAGUCUUAACCAUAAACUAUGCCGACUAGGGAUCGGAUGAUGUUAAUUUUAUAAUGACUCAUUCGGCGCCUUACG
This 500-nucleotide ribosomal RNA is filed under the name uncultured Glomeromycotina. Its description in RNAcentral is "partial small subunit ribosomal RNA". It matches the Rfam family "Eukaryotic small subunit ribosomal RNA", at positions 591 to 1092 of the family's 1831-position model. The record is from RNAcentral. Lineage: Eukaryota; Fungi; Glomeromycota.